Long non-coding RNA from Phlebotomus argentipes, 393 nucleotides. RefSeq lists it as uncharacterized. Lineage: Eukaryota; Metazoa; Arthropoda; Insecta; Diptera; Psychodidae. The record is from RefSeq and is a predicted model, not a curated record. The transcript has 2 exons.
UAAACAGCAUCAACAGUUUUAUUAUCAAUUUGCACGACAAUUUGUGUAUAAAUUCUGAAGGUUUUUCCUCAAUUGGCAUAGUCAGUUUGAGAAGUCAACUGAAGCAAUCCAAAUCAAUCCAAAAUGAUGAAGUUCCUGUUCUUCGCCCUCCUCGUCGUCCUGGCCGUUGCCACCGCCUUCGCUGCUCCUGAGCCAGUUCCUGCUCCUUUCCCGUCUCCUUACGCCGCUCCUCUGCCAGUCCCCAACUAUGGCCAUUAUGGUUAUGGAUACCAUUACUAAACUGAAAAAGAAGCUGAAAAAUAUACAGAAAAUUGAGACAAUCGUUUGAAAUCAUUCCAAAUUCGUAAGACCAGAAAAUGGGGAAAUAAAAUUAUUAGGUAUCAGAAAACUGAA